CGAGCGAGGCGUCCCGCAGGGNAUAGUCGAGCGGCGAACGGGUGAGUAACGCGUGGAUAACCUGCCCUGAGGCGUGGAACAACCAGGGGAAACUCUGGCUAAUACCGCAUGAUACCGAGAGGUCAAAGGGGGCUCGCAAGGGCUCUCGCCACAGGAGGGGUCCGCGUCCGAUUAGCUAGUUGGUAGGGUAAUGGCCUACCAAGGCGACGAUCGGUAGCCGGCCUGAGAGGGUGAUCGGCCACACUGGAACUGAGACACGGUCCAGACUCCUACGGGAGGCAGCAGUGGGGAAUUUUGCGCAAUGGGCUAACGCCUGACGCAGCAACGCCGCGUGGAGGAUGAAGGUCUUUGGAUUGUAAACUCCUGUCAGCAGGGAAAAAGCGACUCGGACUCAUACUCCGGGGAGUUGAUUGUACCUGCAGAGGAAGCCCCGGCUAACUCUGUGCCAGCAGCCGCGGUAAUACAGAGGGGGCAAG
Molecule: ribosomal RNA, 476 nt
Filed under: uncultured bacterium
Lineage: Bacteria
Description: bacterial SSU rRNA
Rfam family: Bacterial small subunit ribosomal RNA
Source: RNAcentral